UACGUAGGGUGCAAGCGUUAAUCGGAAUUACUGGGCGUAAAGCGUGCGCAGGCGGCUUUGCAAGACAGAUGUGAAAUCCCCGGGCUCAACCUGGGAACUGCAUUUGUGACUGCAUGGCUUGAGUGCGGCAGAGGGAGAUGGAAUUCCGCGUGUAGCAGUGAAAUGCGUAGAUAUGCGGAGGAACACCGAUGGCGAAGGCAAUCCCCUGGGCCUGCACUGACGCUCAUGCACGAAAGCGUGGGGAGCAAACAGG
RNAcentral lists this ribosomal RNA (253 nucleotides) under uncultured bacterium. RNAcentral describes it as "partial 16S ribosomal RNA". It matches the Rfam family "Bacterial small subunit ribosomal RNA", at positions 524 to 776 of the family's 1533-position model. The record is from RNAcentral.